Molecule: long non-coding RNA, 1454 nt
Organism: Carcharodon carcharias (great white shark)
Lineage: Eukaryota; Metazoa; Chordata; Chondrichthyes; Lamniformes; Lamnidae
Exons: 2
Source: RefSeq, a predicted model, not a curated record
UGCGCAGCCGGUACUCAGACGCGGACCGAGGGGCGAGCGGGACGUACAAGUGGAGCAAUGGCGGGCAAGACGGAGAAUCACAAAACUUCCGAUUUUUAUCGGAAUGAGGUGGAAUAACAGCAGGGUACAGCCGGAGGCAGCUGUAACAACAACAGAUGACUCUCAAAUUUGACCCUGAUGGUUUGUUUAGAGCACUUGAAAGGUCUGGAGAAAUUUUGCUGGAGUACCAACUGGUAAGCCAGAGCUUUUCCAUGGCCUCUGUGUGCUCUAACAACGCAGGUUCAAUAAGUAAUGCUUAACUGUGAUUGAAUUUCCGCGCACAAGACAGACAUCAAGGUGACGGCGCUGUUUGGGAGAGAGCUCCACAAGUAAGAGCAGGAACAUGUGAAGCUUUGCUGCUGGUAUUCCAUGUCAACUGUUUGGAAUGAUACAGGAUGUUGAAGUGCAACUGCAUCAGCUCUUGUGUUCCUGGCAUAAACAUGGAGGCCUAGCUAAAGCAGAAACAAGUCCUGCGGUACUCCUGCAGUCAUGAUCUUGAAGAGGACUGUCAGAAUGACAAUGUGUCUCAGAUGUUACAGAGGAUGGAGUAUGCAAAUUUAAUCUGAACCAAUGGUCUAAAUUGCUUUGGACUAUAGUGAGUCCACAAGUAAAAGGUGGGUUCUCUGUAGCCUGCCAAAGUUAUAACAUACCAUCUCUAUGCAGAUGCAGGCUAUGAAACACUCAAGUUUCCAGGUGUGAUGAGUGAUGGUGAGGUUUUUUGAGAAUUCCUACUUUUCUGCCAGCGUUUGAUGAUGGAUAUCAGUCAGUUGCCAAUGCAACUCUGCUUAAAAGUUGUUACUAGUCAAGUCAUUGCCUCGGAAGAAUGCAUCGCUACAUCUGCAUUAUAGUGUCCCUGCAACCCUAGAUAACCAGUGCGACGUUCUUUGCCAUUUCCAACUUGCUAUCGUUUAGGUAUCCACAGAAUAAAUAAGAAGGUGGUAGCAGCACCGGGAAUAUCAUCAUGGAUUCAUGUUCUAAUCCUUACCCUUGCCAGCUGUGAAACUAGUCAGGAGGUGCUUGAGAGAGAAGAUCAACUGAUUACUUAGUAACACCUCAGCGUAUGGAUGUCAGUGACUCACCUGGAUUAUCUUGUGUGCAUUACCCUAGUGCACGUUUACUAAGCAUGGCAGUAUUUACCACUGCUGGUAAUACAACAUUGGACAAUUUUUACCCCAGUAACUCUAAGUGCCAGCAGAAGCAUGGAAAUCCAAGCUUCUUUUAACUUUUCAACAAAUCAAUCCAUCAGUGGAUGAAUUUCCAUAUCCACUUUUUAAGCUUUUGAUUCAUUUACUACCACACUGAAAUAAAGCUUGUGAUAAAUAUCAAAACUACUCGUAUGUCAAAGUAGAUUUAUAUUAAUGUGAAACACAAACUACUAAAAUAAACACCACUUUAAAAAGAAUUAAACAAUUUAA